AAGCCAUGAUGUGGGCAUUGAGACCAAUAGCCCUUGAACCUCUCCCAUGCUUCACUAAAUCCCUCUAGGGUCUUCUGCUGAAAGCUAGAGAUCUCAUUCCUGAUCUU
This 107-nucleotide small nucleolar RNA is filed under the name Brassica napus (rape). Its description in RNAcentral is "Plant small nucleolar RNA R71". It matches the Rfam family "Plant small nucleolar RNA R71". Rfam says of the family: R71 is a member of the C/D box family of snoRNAs containing the C (UGAUGA) and D (CUGA) box motifs. Multiple nearly identical copies of this snoRNA have been identified in Arabidopsis, and it is thought to function as a 2'-O-ribose methylation guide for 18S ribosomal RNA. The record is from Rfam by way of RNAcentral. RNAcentral also lists the same sequence under 1 other name. Lineage: Eukaryota; Viridiplantae; Streptophyta; Magnoliopsida; Brassicales; Brassicaceae.